RNAcentral lists this unclassified non-coding RNA (392 nucleotides) under fungal sp. RNAcentral describes it as "partial internal transcribed spacer region". The stretch from base 1 to 46 matches the Rfam family "Eukaryotic small subunit ribosomal RNA", at positions 1786 to 1831 of the family's 1831-position model. Lineage: Eukaryota; Fungi. The record is from RNAcentral.
AAGUCGUAACAAGGUUUCCGUAGGUGAACCUGCGGAAGGAUCAUCAACAAAUCCCUCUAAAUACUCAAAACACACCUUUGUGCUCAAAACCCCCUAUAAAUCUAUGCUCUUCUCCAGUCACUUGCUGAUCAAGUGUAUGGUUUGAAUGAGAUCGUCAUUGGUUGUACGAUCCUUCCAUGCAUGAGUUGAGUGUAGGUUUUUUUUUCCCUUACAACCAAAAAAACAACAACAUAAACUCCAAAAAACACAAUCUUUAUCUAUCUGUUUCUGUUUUUUGUUUUUUUUUCUUUUCAUCUUGUAUGCACACUCGUGUGUAUAUAAUGUGAAAAAAAAGGAAAUAAAAAUAUAAAAAAACUUGAAAACAACUUUUAACAAUGGAUCUCUUGGUUCUC